Molecule: ribosomal RNA, 301 nt
Filed under: uncultured bacterium
Lineage: Bacteria
Description: partial 16S ribosomal RNA
Rfam family: Bacterial small subunit ribosomal RNA
Source: RNAcentral
CAGUAGCCGCGGUAAUACGAAGGGUGCAAGCGUUAAUCGGGAUUACUGGGCGUAAAGCGUGCGUAGGCGGUGAGUUAAGUCUGCUGUGAAAUCCCCGGGCUCAACCUGGGAAUGGCAGUGGAUACUGGCUCGCUAGAGUGUGUCAGAGGAUGGUGGAAUUCCCGGUGUAGCGGUGAAAUGCGUAGAGAUCGGGAGGAACAUCAGUGGCGAAGGCGGCCAUCUGGGACAACACUGACGCUGAGGCACGAAAGCGUGGGGAGCAAACAGGAUUAGAUACCCGCGUAGUCCCUGUCUCUUAUAC